RNAcentral lists this long non-coding RNA (540 nucleotides) under Coturnix japonica (Japanese quail). RNAcentral describes it as "lncRNA (ENSCJPG00005017741.1)". Lineage: Eukaryota; Metazoa; Chordata; Aves; Galliformes; Phasianidae. The record is from RNAcentral.
ACACAAAACAAAUUUAAAAAACAAUACCCAACUCACAACAAAAUUGGAGACUUUUCUGUUUGCAGAGUUGUUUCCUAUCUAUUAUCAGGUGUUUCUUGGGUAGUGAUUAGACUACACUGUGUUAAUUGAGGACAAGUCAGUUGCAGCAGAUGUUUUCAUGAUGUUGUGAUGACUGUAGGUGAAAAAGUAGAUUUUGGUUUUCUUAAUAAUAGUACCAAAAGGUUUGUAUGUUUGUUUUUCCAGAGGUCUUACACCUGCUGAAAAUGAUGAAUUUUUACCAUUCAUGGACAGGAGCUCAGCAUAUGGAAGCAGCUGUCACAGGAGAUGACUCUGGAGAAACUCUAUCCAAACAAGAGAAGCAGCAAGGAGGUGACAUUUUGAAGAUAAAUAAACAUCUUCCUCAUUUUUCUCUACUUUUUUACCUACACCUUGAAGAAUGACAUUAGAAGGUGGGUUUUUUUAACUAUUUCCUUUGCUUCUAUCCCUUAUCACUACAUACAUCAAAAUAAAAUUAAAGUAAAUUAGUAUGUGGUAUUUGCC